This 28-nucleotide non-coding RNA is filed under the name Homo sapiens (human). Lineage: Eukaryota; Metazoa; Chordata; Mammalia; Primates; Hominidae. The record is from RNAcentral.
UACUUGAUGAUGGAAAGCAGGGGGAGUU